AUACGGAGGGUGCAAGCGUUACUCGGAAUCACUGGGCGUAAAGCGCGCGCAGGCGGCUAUUUAAGUUGGAUGUGAAAGCCUACGGCUCAACCGUAGAACUGCAUCCAAAACUAGUUAGCUAGAGUGUGGGAGAGGAAGAUGGAAUUAGUUGUGUAGGGGUAAAAUCCGUAGAGAUAACUAGGAAUACCAAAAGCGAAGGCAAUCUUCUGGAACACUACUGACGCUGAGGCGCGAAAGCGUGGGGAGCAAACGGGAUUAGAAACCCCAGUAGUCC
This 274-nucleotide ribosomal RNA is filed under the name uncultured bacterium. RNAcentral describes it as "partial 16S ribosomal RNA". It matches the Rfam family "Bacterial small subunit ribosomal RNA", at positions 523 to 796 of the family's 1533-position model. The record is from RNAcentral.